UAUUAAAAUUCUAUCCAUUUGCAUGGUUAAAAAAUGACGUGGUUGACGGAACAUUUAGACAAUAACACAUGACGUCUCACAUGUAUCUCAUGCCAACGUACAAUAACUAAUUUUUAAUAAUAAAAAUUAAUGAUAUUUUUAACG
RNAcentral lists this microRNA precursor (144 nucleotides) under Gossypium arboreum. Its description in RNAcentral is "MIR7502 microRNA precursor family". It matches the Rfam family "MIR7502 microRNA precursor family". The record is from Rfam by way of RNAcentral. Lineage: Eukaryota; Viridiplantae; Streptophyta; Magnoliopsida; Malvales; Malvaceae.